CUACGAAAGGUGCAAGCGUUGUUCGGAAUUACUGGGCGUAAAGCGUACGUAGGCGGUUCGUUAAGUUAGAUGUGAAAGCCCCGGGCUUAACCUGGGAACUGCAUUUAAAACUGGCGAACUAGAGUUGAGUAGAGGGGAGUGGAAUUUCAGGUGUAGCGGUGAAAUGCGUAGAGAUCUGAAGGAACACCAGUGGCGAAGGCGACUCCCUGGACUCGAACUGACGCUGAGGUACGAAAGCGUGGGUAGCAAACGGGAUUAGAAACCCUAGUAGUCC
RNAcentral lists this ribosomal RNA (274 nucleotides) under uncultured bacterium. RNAcentral's name for it is "partial 16S ribosomal RNA". It matches the Rfam family "Bacterial small subunit ribosomal RNA", at positions 523 to 796 of the family's 1533-position model. The record is from RNAcentral.